Molecule: ribosomal RNA, 509 nt
Filed under: uncultured bacterium
Lineage: Bacteria
Description: bacterial SSU rRNA
Rfam family: Bacterial small subunit ribosomal RNA
Source: RNAcentral
CUACGUGCCAGCAGCCGCGGUAAUACGUAGGUGGCGAGCGUUGUCCGGAAUCAUUGGGCGUAAAGGGAGCGCAGGCGGGCCGGUAAGUCUUACUUAAAAGUGCGGGGCUCAACCCCGUGAUGGGAGAGAAACUAUCGGUCUUGAGUACAGGAGAGGAAAGCGGAAUUCCCAGUGUAGCGGUGAAAUGCGUAGAUAUUGGGAAGAACACCAGUGGCGAAGGCGGCUUUCUGGACUGCAACUGACGCUGAGGCUCGAAAGCCAGGGGAGCGAACGGGAUUAGAUACCCCGGUAGUCCUGGCCGUAAACGAUGGAUACUAGGUGUGGGAGGUAUCGACCCCUACCGUGCCGGAGUUAACGCAAUAAGUACCCCGCCUGGGGAGUACGACCGCAAGGUUGAAACUCAAAGGAAUUGACGGGGGCCCGCACAAGCGGUGGAGUAUGUGGUUUAAUUCGACGCAACGCGAAGAACCUUACCAGGUCUUGACAUUGAUGGACAGAACUAGAGAUAG